AUCUCUUCCUUCUAGCUAAGUUGUGAAAGUCCCUUGAUUUAACUUUCCAAAUCUAUCAAUAUUCACUAGAUUGACAAGAAUCAAAUUGAAGACUUUAUUCUUACACUGUAUGUAAUGAACAAUUAGACUAAUAAUGAAUAGCAUUGGAACCCAGAAGGAAAUAAUUAAGCAGCAUCAAGUCCAUUGUCUAGAACAGCAUCCUUGAUGAGUUUAAGAGAUUGUUCAAGAUCAUCACAGAGCUUGUGAGGAUGAGGAAUCACAUCUACAUCAACUGCCAGAACAAUAGUCAUCUUGUUGGAAUAGCUUUGGAAAUGGAUUGUCAGAGCAUGAGGAUGGCCAUAAACACUGGGUGCAAUGAAAGCCAAUGGAUGACCAUAAAAGCUAACUUCUUCUACAGGACCAACCACAUUGGAAAAUGCCAAGGUUGUGUUCGAAAGAAAUCUGUGUGCUAUGGCUGCACCUACCUUAACUCCCAAGGUGCAGAGUACGAGCUUGGCAAUUUGAAAAGUGCAAAAGGGUUCGAGUGAGCGCUUCUUUCGAUCAAUUGUGGCUUUAGCUUGUCGAACAUAGUUUAAUGGGUCAUCUUGCAAGGAAAUGGUGAAGGGCAGGACAAGAUACCCAAUCCGAUUACCCCAUCCCCAUUUGACCUUCGACUCCUUACCCAUCAAAUCAGCCAAUGUCUGAAUUCCUAGAGCUGGUCUUAAAUUA
This 708-nucleotide unclassified non-coding RNA is filed under the name Hevea brasiliensis (rubber tree). Lineage: Eukaryota; Viridiplantae; Streptophyta; Magnoliopsida; Malpighiales; Euphorbiaceae. The record is from RNAcentral.